RNAcentral lists this ribosomal RNA (345 nucleotides) under uncultured bacterium. Its description in RNAcentral is "bacterial SSU rRNA". It matches the Rfam family "Bacterial small subunit ribosomal RNA", at positions 72 to 422 of the family's 1533-position model. The record is from RNAcentral.
CUUGGGUUUCGGCCUGGGGAGGAGUGGCGCACGGGUGAGUAGCGCGUGGGAACCUGCCCUGAAGUGGGGGAUAACCGAGGGAAACUUCGGCUAAUACCGCAUACGCCCGGUGGAGCGAUCCAUCGGGGAAAGAUUUAUCGCUUUAGGAGGGGCCCGCGUCGGAUUAGCUUGUUGGUGGGGUAACGGCCUACCAAGGCGAUGAUCCGUAGCUGGUCUGAGAGGAUGAUCAGCCACACUGGGACUGAGACACGGCCCAGACUCCUACGGGAGGCAGCAGUGGGGAAUAUUGGACAAUGGGCGCAAGCCUGAUCCAGCAAUGCCGCGUGAGUGAGGAAGGCCUUAGGG